Macadamia integrifolia is the source of this 2350-nucleotide long non-coding RNA. RefSeq lists it as uncharacterized. Lineage: Eukaryota; Viridiplantae; Streptophyta; Magnoliopsida; Proteales; Proteaceae. The transcript has 3 exons. The record is from RefSeq and is a predicted model, not a curated record.
AAUCGUCAAUCCUCCACCAUGAGCUUUCCUUUUCCAACUAUUUCCUGUAGAGGUUAAACAACUGAGUGAGUAGUACCAGGAAUGAGGCGUUACUUUCCUUUUCUAAUUAUUUCUCCCGCCUAUAUUACCCGGCUUCAGUUAUUCAUUCCCCUUAUUUUCUACCUUCAAGCCUCUGUCAUAAAUUUCUUCCAAGCUUGAGACUUCUCUUUUGGUAUAAUUUCGUUUCUAAACUAUCGUGUCCCUCUCUUACCCUCGCGUUGUCCUCCUCAACAAACCUGGAAUGUGGAGGAGCUCAUAUGUUUCAGGUUUUGAAUCUUUUUAUCUUCCAGUUUGCUGUCCCUUUUGUUUAUUUAAUUUCUGAAGCCACGGUCUCUGCUCCUACAUUUUUUUGGGAGCAUUUGUUCUGUUGGGUUUUCUGUUUUAUACGGAUUAUCACCGUUUAAUUUCUGAAUAACCUGUUUGGCAGGAUUUUCAGUUUCUUCUCAUGGUGAAUGGUUUAAUUUGAUUUUGAUGACAUCUUUCGGUUGUGCUAUUAAUAAUUGCAAAUGCAGCUCUCUGCGCUUGUUUCAUAGAUUUUAGACAGUAUGUCAUGGAAACAGAGAAGAGAGUUCUUAGGUGAUUUUGGGUCUGAUCACUCGUCUACCAAAUUUUAAGCUUUUUAAGCCUUCUCCCACUUGAGGGGCUUGACCACCUCCCAUGUGAAGUUAGGGUCGUCCCUGCCAAAGUGACCAUAGGCGGCUGUCUUCAUAACCCUGCCAUUGCCUCCUCUCUUGAGGUCCAAGCUUAUGGCAAUCAUCCCAGGCCUGAAAUCAAAGGUCUCCUUGACAAUCUGCGGGAUCUCCUUGUCAGGAAUCUUUCCUGUACCGUAAGAGUCAACAAAGACGGACAAGGGCUCUGGAACACCAAUGGCAUAGGAGACCUGCACAAUACAGCGACGGGCAAGCCCAUUGGCGACAAUGCUCUUGGCAGCCUGCCUGACGAUGUAGGCACCACUCCUGUCCACCUUGGUUGGGUCCUUAGUCCUUACCAGAGAAGGCACCACCACCGUAGGUGUCGAUGAUAAUCUUCCUUCCUGUGAGCCCUGCAUCACAAUGGGUGCCACCAAUAACAAAACGCCCUGAUGGGUUAAGGUGGAAGAUGGUCUUCUCGUCGAGGUACUUCUCUGGGACGACAGGCUUGAUGACAUGCUCCUUAAGGUCAGCGGCAAUCUCGUCGUUGGUGACGGGAUGUUGGCUUGACUUUUUCUUUAAUAGAGGAAGUAGCUUAUAUGUUGGCUUGAAGUAAUGACUCAUUACAGUAGAAUUGCUAAAGAGAAAUCCAUGUAAAGUUAAUUAACUUCAAAUUCAAUUGCAUACUUGGGGUUUUUUGACACCAUGAACAUAACUUGAAACCGCAUUUAUCAGGCUCCGAUUGUACAAUAUUGUCAAACCAGAUGAACUGUUGACAGUCCUAAGUUUGAUACAAUCAUACAUCAACCUGGUCACCGUUAUCAGAGAUCUACACAGUUGCGGAACCUACUGCCAUACUCAGCCGUCUCUCGUCUCUGCAGACUGGUGUUUAUAUAUUGGAUGGCUCUAGGGAAGCAGUAUAAUGAAGAAGAGGAUGGUAAUCCGAGGUUUAAAGAGCUGUUUAAGGAAAUAGGAGAUUUGUUAGGAACUUUUAAUGUAGCGGGCUUCAUACCAUGGCUUGGCUAGAUGAAUUAUGUAAAUGGGUUGGAGAACAGGAUGAAGAAAACUUUGGCAGAGAUGGAUUUUUUUCUUGAUAUUGUGGUCCAACAACACAGAAUUGGACAUUGGAAGGAGGGUGAUCAAGUUAAUGAUGCACAUAUUGACAUGGUAGACUUACUCCUUCAUAUUGAAAACGAAGUGACCUCUGCAACCCCUAUUGGGUACGAUAACAUCAAAGCCAUUAUGUUGGAUGUGUUUGGGGACGGAAUUGAUCCAGUAUACUUCUAGAAUGGACAAUGGCAGAAAUUUUAAAGCAUCCAGAAGUCAUGAAAGAAGUUCAAGAGGAAGUAAAGGGGGUCAGAAGGGGCAAAGCGAUUAUUACUGAAGUUGAUAUAAAAAAGAUGGUUUAUUUGAAUGCAGUGAUUCAAGAGAUACUAAGACUGCAUCCUCCACUCCCGUUAUUGAUCCUGCGUAAAUUGACAGACAAUAUCUUCAAUAUUCAAGGGUUUGUUUUUCCAAUGAACCCGAGAAGUUCAAACCAGAGAGGUUCUUGAAUGAUGUCCCAAUCGAUUUUGAAAUAUUUUCGUUUGGGAUAGGUAGGCGAGGAUACCCAAGAGCUCGAUUUGCUUUGACGAUUGUUGAAAUUGUAAUAGCCAAUCUUUUGGAAUCUCUAGUCAUUUAAA